GUCUAUGGCUCUCCCACCCUGAUCAAGUCUAAUCUUGUCUGAUCUUGGAAGCUAAGCUAGGUCAAGCCUGGUUAGUACUUAGAUGAAAAACCACCUGGGAAUACCAGGUGCUGUGGACU
RNAcentral lists this ribosomal RNA (119 nucleotides) under Monodelphis domestica (gray short-tailed opossum). The record is from RNAcentral. Lineage: Eukaryota; Metazoa; Chordata; Mammalia; Didelphimorphia; Didelphidae.